Molecule: signal recognition particle RNA, 88 nt
Filed under: Aerococcus suis
Lineage: Bacteria; Bacillati; Bacillota; Bacilli; Lactobacillales; Aerococcaceae
Description: Bacterial small signal recognition particle RNA
Rfam family: Bacterial small signal recognition particle RNA
About the family: The signal recognition particle (SRP) is a universally conserved ribonucleoprotein involved in the co-translational targeting of proteins to membranes. Archaeal SRP consists of a 7S RNA and homologues of the eukaryotic SRP19 and SRP54 proteins.
Source: RNAcentral
GCCUUAUGGCAAGGGUGGAGAUGUGAACCGGGUCAGAUCGGGAACGAAGCAGCUCUAAGCAUUGUCCAUUCUGUGCUAUAAGAUUGAU